GGAUGGAACCUAAAUUGAGCUAUUGAAGUUGACAUUGUUCUUGCACAGAUCUAAAAGUGUUGGGAUUUUAUUGCUUAAAAAGAAAUUAGUUGCUGAAAGUACUCAAGUGAUAACAGAUCAGCCUAACUGUGCUCCUCAAGACUCAGUUCUACAGCCUACAGCUUAGAGUCAAGAGUGGGAAACGGAGCAAAAACAUCCUCCUUACUUUUCGUAUCUGGGUCAUCUUAAUUGAUCCCAGCAGACUUAACCAUUGCUGGGCUACCUCAAUCAACCCACCUACAUUGUCACCUGGAGGAACCUGCCUCUUUCCUAGCAGCUGAGGCAAUACCUUUGGGGAAGAAAAGGUUUCCUCUGCUGCUCCAGGGCAGAUUUUUAACCUCUUCACUGCCAUAUACAUUGCUGGGGCAUUUACCAUCAGGAACAAAUGACAAACCAAGACUUGCACCUCCCAUACUACCACGUGCUAUUUUAUAGUCCUAGAACGGAAGUUGUGUACUCUACAGCUGGAACACAUACUUUCAAUAGCUAUACAUUUAAUUGGUCUUCUUACUACUUCAUGCAUUUAGCUAAGUCCUUAAUGUCUUUCUGAAAAAUUUGGCCAGCAAGAGCAUUAGCUACAAGGCCUUUAAGAUACACUUGAUUUUAAAAUAAAGACAGCUGGUCUAAACCUGUGCUAAAACACAUAAAUAUCACUCUUGACCUGAGUAGUAAAUGUUGAGGUUAGAAAAAUGUUUUCUUGGCUACUCUAGAGCUUAUUAUGUAUUUCUAGGUAAAUAGAAUACUGCAAACAAUCCUAAAGUUGUUUAAUAAAUACAGCCAUUUUGGCAACAUUUUAGCUGAAUCUCUAAAUUGAGAAAGCAUUGAAAUCUCUUUUAGAAAGAUCACUGAUUUACUGUUUUUACUUUCAGGUCUGGAUGUGCUUUUAAUGGUGUCUUGCAUGUCACAUAUUGUCCACUUUCCACUAUAACCAGUGCUACUCUUUUUAUAGAUUUUGUUUUUAUAUCAAUGUUUCAGGCGUUUCCUGUUGUAUAGAUGAACACAUCUAUACAAGCUGUCCAAGUGGCCUGUACAGUUCAAGAGAGCGUACUGGCCAGCAGUACAGGUUUAGUGCAUACAUACACAAUGUUAAGGGUGUGCAUUCUUCUGCUUCCCACAGCUGCACAGCUCUCAUGUGAGUCAUUUACAGUCACCUAGUUAAGAUGAAAAAAGUCUUAAUAUUGUUCUUAUCAGUUACACUGAUGCUAAGAACAGGCCUUGAGAUUUCUCAGAGGGAGGUACCCAUGUUUGUGUUGUUUCUGCCUCCAGAUAAGCUUCAGCAUUUUUGUGUAGAUAAGCUUUAACUUCUUUGUGUUUUUGAAGUCUACGUAGUAUACUGAGCUUGGUUUUAUACUGCUGCAGUUCAGCCAGCAUUCCUGUUGAAAAGAUGAAAGGCAGAAACAAUCACAGCUCUUGAGUCAUCAUAGCUUUUAAGCAGGAUGUAGCCAGCUUCUUGCUUCACCAGGAUGAUGCUCAGAGUCAGUAAAAGAUUCAAGGAGAACUGCACAGUGGAAGCCUAUCCCAAGCACAGAAGGCACUGUGAAGCUUACUGCCUGCCACACUUAGCGUAUGAGUGGUUACUGAAACUGAAAACUGAAACAAUUCCUUGUCUGAUGAAUUGACCCCCUGGAAAACAGUGAAUUCUGACUGCAUUAGAAAGCCAAGAACUGAUUGCAUAUGACAGAUCUCUUAAAAGUAAAAUAAACAGUGAAAUACAAUUGGAGAUUUGGUGGAGAAUUCUAAAUUAAGUGAAACGAAGGCUUGUAGCUGCUAAGACUUAACAAUUCAACCUCAUUUCCCUGGAAAGAAAAUAAUGGUCAAAAAAUUAAAGUGGUAGCAAAAGUAAAGUAGUGGAAGACAAUUUUUUGUGGAAACCAUACAUUUAAGACCUGAACUUAAGAAAGGAAAUAGAAGAUUCACUUGAGACUUACUGUUCAGUAGCAGACCUGCUUUAUUGCAUCAACAGGUACAGUUGGUUUAGUUUUUUGUCAUAACAAAUUAUGGUUGUUAGGCUGACUUAGAGGGAGCAUUGUAGAUGGUGGUCUGUUCUAGUAAAUGUCAUCAGAACCUGUUUAUGGUUAUAAAAUCUCUAUAACUCAGUGAGAAAAAAAAAAAAAAAAAAGAGGUUAGUUCAAAGCCUUUAAGGAAGCAUGUUCACAGUAACACAGUAACAACAAGCUCUUCUUGCUUGCUAGCUCUCUUCCAGUGUCCACCAAUGCUGUAGUUCCUUGAAGCUGUUUGUUCAAGCUAUAUCCACACUAAUAAGAGCCAACCUGCAAAUAGUGUACAAAGACUGCUUGCCCUACUUCAUUUAUGAGCAGUUAACUUAGAACGAUUCUAUAUUUUAUUCCAGAUUUAACUUUCCAAAGGAUUUUAAAUUUCUCCUUCUUUUACAUAUGUUUAAAAUAUCCUUCUAGAAACUAUCUGGUACUGCUGAUAUUUCAUUCUACUGAGCUAUUGUUUUCAUUUUGACUUGUCUUUUCCUUUCUUUUGAAAUAAGACUUAGACUAAAUACCAAAAUUCGUUCACUGCAUAUAAUGGCUGAGUGCACUAAAAUAUAAAAACCUUGAUUUAAGUAUUUUUGUAUUCAAAGAUCAUAGGCAAGUGUUCAUUUGAAGGUUCAGUGGCAUUUUGAAAUGAGAACAUCAUAUAUAAAGAUGUCAGAGAUGGAGCCUCCCACAGUGAGGUUGAAAGCAAAAGAAGAACAGAAUGAAUAGAAGAGUUUCUAGGUUCCAAGGAAUUUUAACAUCUCAUUACUUUAGAUUACUCUACGUAUAAUUUUCAAAUAUUUUGUAUUAUAGACUUUGAAUGUAUUGGUUAAAAUUACUUCAUGCCUGACAUCAAUUUAGUCUUAUUCAUUAUCUCCCUUAAAGAAAACCUUAAAAAUAGCUGGUUUCAGUAAGUGAGCAAUUUUCUAAUAGAUGUAAAUUCUUCAACAUUUCCAGAGAGAUCUUGCUGUAAAUGAAAACAGAAAGAGUAGGAAGUAGCCAUCCCUCAGCCUUCCUUCAGCAAUCUCAAUAUUUAAGUUACUUUAUCAAACAACAAUGAAUAUGAUAUUAUUAUUUGGCAUAGUCAGUGCUUUGAUUGGUGUUCCUAUGUCUUUGGUAAUCUAAUACACUGUGUGAUACAGCUGUGGUCACCUGAAGUGUUACUGCAUUUUGAGCACAGGUGGACAGAUCUCUGUAUUCACUCUAGCUCAGUCACUCCAGUAGUGACACAGAGGCUACCAGUGACAUCAUCAGUCACAUCUCUUCUUAAAUCUGUGUCAGUCUCCACCCCUUACUUCUGUGGUACAGCUCUAAUCUGGCAGUAAACAAAUGAGAUGUCAAAAUAAUGUCUUCUGCAUUUUCUCUCUUAACUCAAGUUUUUAGAAUCACCUUAGAAUAUAUAUCACAGGCUUUGUACCCUCCUCAGAGUUUCAAGAUGAAAAUAUUUGUGUUCUUUAAAAAUUAGAAUGUAAUUUCCAAGUCUUCUAGAAAUCUAAAUGAAGGAAAUAUGUUCCAAAAUCUAAAAUCAUAGAGCCAGUUUUCAUAUAGUCACAUAUCCACAACACCUAUUGAAAAUACCAAAUGUAUAAACAUAUGUAUUUAUUUAAGACAAACACAUCUGUCAUUUACUAUGAAACACUUUUUGUAUUUGAAAGAGCUUAUAAAAUAAUUAAUUGGAUUCACAUCUGCAUCCCUUCUGACAUUGGAAUUAAAUAUUCCAGUUGUUCUGUAUUUGGGCUUGUUUCCUAUUACUUGAGAGAAAUGUUGUGUUCUGGAUACAUCAAAACACCACUCCAUAUCCAUUGCAAGGGACUGACUGAUGCUGAAUGGAGGAGCAAAAAGGAGGAACAAGGAAGGAUGCUGUAAAAGACAGAACUACCUUCUACUUUCUUUCAUGUCUGCGGGGAAAAAAAGUGAGAUGAUAUCCUGGGAAAGAUAUCAGACAGAUUUUACUUCUGUUAAUGUGAUGAAGCACUGGAGGAAACUCCUUAGGAAUUAUUUACAUCAUCUUGUCCCAAGGAGACUUUACAAACAGGUUCAAUAGUGUCUGUCUUAGUGAGUAAUAGAGGUGCGAUUCUUCCACAGUGCAGAUGGUUGGAUAGGGAGGAGGUUGUUAGAAAUAAUGGUCCUUUUGACACAGUGAGAAAUUCGGUGUGUGGUGAUAGAUGAGACAUUUUGAGAGUCGAUAUUAAUCAGUCAGUUCACAAAUAUUUGGGAAGCCUUGCUCUGGAAGGUCCCUUCAACUCACCAUUUUUGCCAGGUUUUGAUACUUGCCUGGGCUGCAUGGCAUCCCACCAGUGUGCCAGGCCUGAGCAUGCACACCAGUGAAUGCAGAGACUGGAGAGACGGGAAUGUGAAGAAAACAGCUGAGGGAAGAAAAGUAACAAACUAUUUAAAAAGAAACUUACUGAAAAAAUCUGACAGCAAGGGGAAAGAAAUUCAGAAGCAAAGGAAAGAGAGAAAUACAGUCUGAAAAAGUGAGAAUGGACUGAAAUUGCUUGUGAGCAGUUAAACCUCAGAGAGUCCCACAAGAAGCUGUGCCUUGGCACCUGAGAGCUGAGAUAGUGGCUCACAGCAGCACCAACCUAAGGCACAAGACUGAAAACGAUUCCUGUUCAGAGCAGCCAGGAACACGAUGUGGGUUUUCAGAUUUCCUUUAAGCAGAUGAGAGCACAAAGCUGAAGUGAGCAGCCUGGGCUGGUGCUGCAGGAUGAAAUCUUACACUUCUGUGCCUAGCAAUGAAGUUUUAAUCACCUCAAUAUACAUCGUUCCACAAUAUAUAUUUUUCUGUCUACCAAAGACAUAAUGGCUCCUCCUUUUAUGGGAAACCAGGAUUUAAUCCAGCCAAUAAAUGACAGAAUCAGAGACCAUCCAGUGUCCUGCUCCAUGGCAAGUCACAGUGAUUUCCCCACAUAAAUAGAGACCAUUUAGAGUCCAGGUAAUGUCUCUAUUGUAUUUAUUCACGCUGCUCAUAAAAAAGCACAUCACAAAAGUGCCUGGAAAAUAAAACUCCAAUGAGAAGGGGACCCAUCAAGUUUAAAUGGAGGUUUAUAUUGCAGCAUUAUGAGACAGCGGCUUGCACAUUUCCAAGUCCCAUGGCAGAAAGUGAAACUCUGAACAAUUAAAGCAGCACAGACAUCCUGCCCUAAAGGACUAUGGCAUUCUGUAUCUACUGACACAGAAGAUAAUUUCCCAGUAUUUUCUUUAAUGAACGACCUAUUAUGAACCAGCAAGAAAAACCCAUACUGCAUAAUUCUUCCACAGAUAAACUGGAGGGAUAUCCAGAUUUCAGGGCCGGAUCCUGGAAGAACACUCAGGCAGCAAUGACCUCUGACAUUUGGAAGGCCAAAAGACAGUUCAAUAAGUGGCUUAGACAGAGUGAAGCAAGAAGGAAUGUUCCACCCCACACUGGCAUGGUGCUCUGCUUCAUUCCGUUACACAUCUCUGCUUCUCCAUGAAGUCAUGUCACUAAAUCCAGAAAGCUUCCUUCAGAAAUGCUCAGUAUUGUAUGUUUAGUGUAACUCUUACACCCUGUCAGGGCUUUCAAAGCACAACAAAUUAAUCUGGAAAUUCAGAUUGCUUCCGACAGUGCUGUUGCAGGGAUACAGCAGGAGCUCUGCAGGGAGAAGGUGGGAUGAAGGCACUGAGAAGGGAUCAUUGUACAGAGGGAUGGAUUGUCAUGGAGGAAGACCAGAAAAAAGAUAAAAAAACAGCAACAAAAAUGAGUAGUAAAGAAGGUGGAAUUAAGAAACAGAAAUGGUGAAGUGAUACCAUAAUGCUCUGCUGGCUUAAAAGCAAGGAAAAAUUAUGAAAGCAUUAAUUUAUUCAUUUUCAGACAAAUGAAAACAAAACAAGAACAACAAAAAAAACAACAAAAACCCAAAAAACUAGUCCAUAGAAAGAGAGAAAAUAGAGCAGAAAUUAGAACAUGUGAAGAAAACAGGCAGCAAAGGAAGAGGAAAUGAAGAGUGGUGAAACAAGUGUUGGAAGUAAAGGAGCGGGGCUGAAGAAGCAACACAAAGAGGUCUGAUGCACAGGGCUUUUAGUCCACUCUAAAAUGGAUCUUAGACUAUCUCAAGCUGUGCACUGCAGUGAGUGGUUUUGAACUGAGAGAUCCACUUCUGUGAGAGGCCCACAAGAUGCGAAUAUCCUCACGUCUCCAUUGUCUUAAGAAUGCAGAGCACACCUCAGCUAAGAAAACUGGGACUUGCCAUGGAGAAGGAGCGAUGAACAUGUAUCAGAAGAGUAAAUCAGCUGCCUCUUGCUAAGUACCCUAUGAUUUUUCUUGACUGCUGCCGUUUGGGCCCUACCAAGUCCAGUGCUUACGGUGCAAAUCAGGUAUGCUGGCUCCUUUUUUGUUGUUCUGCCUUUUGAAAGGAUAAAGUCUUUCUUAGGAAAAACAGGAACUGUAGCAAUACAGCGCCAUCUCCUCAGAGAAAUUUUUAUUAAUUCAUUUGCUUUGCAAGAGGGAGCUAAAUCAGUAUAAUUGUGGAUUCUUGGUCCUGCGGGCAGAACAGAAUCCCAGAAACAUGACAUUGUAUGCUAUUUUCCUCUUAUUUUUAAAGACAGACUGCGUAGUACGAUAUUAGGUGAAGCAAAUCCUUAUAAUUCAUAUAUUUAUGCUGGGUGUUUUUAAUUACUGUUGUUCAUAGAGGUGGUGUUAUUUUUCUAAAAAUAAUAUUAGUGUAUGAUAGGCGUCUUUCCGUAAGGCUACGUAUAGAAAGCUCAUUAAAAGAUAGCACUCUGGG
Non-coding RNA from Coturnix japonica (Japanese quail), 6772 nucleotides. The record is from RefSeq and is a predicted model, not a curated record. NCBI's taxonomy places the organism in Eukaryota, Metazoa, Chordata, Aves, Galliformes, Phasianidae.